Aegilops tauschii subsp. strangulata is the source of this 3023-nucleotide non-coding RNA. The record is from RefSeq and is a predicted model, not a curated record. Lineage: Eukaryota; Viridiplantae; Streptophyta; Magnoliopsida; Poales; Poaceae.
UAACAGAAUAUAGAGCCCGUUCCUGUUUCCCCAAAAAAGAGACAUCUCCGGUGUGGCCGCUCCGCCUCCACCUCCUCUCCCUGGCUUCGGCCGUCGCCUUGCGCCCCACCUUCUCCCCUGGCUCUGGCCGCCGCGCCGAGCCCCACCGUCUCCCCUGGCUCCGGUCGCCGCCUCGUGCCCCACCUUCUCCCCUAGAUCCGGCCGUGGCCCGGCGCCCCACCUUCUCCCUGGCUCCGGCCGCCGCCCCGUGCCCCACCUUCUACCCCCGGCUCCGACCGUCCCCCAUGCCUCACCUUCUCCCUCGGCUCCGGCCGUCGCCCCACGCCCCACCUUCUCCCUCGGCUCCGGUCGCCGCCUAAUCCCUCACCAUCUCGUGCCCCUGGCCGCGCCCCAUCCACCAUCCCCAUCGCCGGCCGCCCCCAUCUGCAGCGCGCCUGCCGCCCCCAUCCCCAGCGCACCAACCCCCAGGUCGCCACCUGCCUCAUCGCGACGCCGCCCACUGCCCUUCCUCCUGGCUUCUCCCAGCCAUGUCGAGCGCCUCCUCCCUGCUCCAAGCUCGCUGCAGACUACACAGAGCCGCCAGCCCCCGCCGCCUCCCGUGCUAGUACAACGCCGCCCCUGUACAAGGUUCAAAGAACUUACAGUGAGAAGGAAGGGAGAUGCUAAGGUCCGGCAGCUUCCUCGUUGCCAUCCUGGCCCCUCAAGACGACCUCUGGUUCGGCCUUUCGUCAAAGGAGAAAAGAAGACUGAUGUGGUGCUCCUGUUGGAUGUACUCUGGAGAAGAGUUAACAGAAAGUUGUAGCAAAGAACAAAAAAGAAGAAAAAAAAUAUAGGGUUGCAGUUUAAGGAAGUUGGGAAUUAAAAGUUCAAAUUGUGCUAAUUGUCGCCGAGCCUCGGGUCGAUUCAUUCCUAAGCUAUGUCUUCAGUCAGCAGCGGAGAUGCCUGCGGGUACAUCGAUAGGAGCAGGAGACCCAUCAAACUUUGUUAACGGGCAUAUAGGAACAACAAGUUAGGUCCGUGCAUAUCAUCAUUCUGAGAGUCUGACAGAUUUGUGUUGAUUGAGUCCACGGUGGCAGUAGAACAUUAAGUACCAUGGAGUUUACAGUCAUUGUGAGCAGGAUGCAUCGAAUACAACAGUUAUUCUUCCAGAUGAAGUGAAGUGACCUCCCCGGAGAGGAAGCGAUCGCUGUGCAGCGAUGCAUCUUGCCGUCGUCACCGCUUGCAUAGUUCUCUGAAUGGAUGGAUGGAUGGGUACAGUUCUCUGAAUGUGAAGUCGAUUGUUGCUCAGCUUUCUCGCAAUUUACUCAGUCUCGUUUUGCUCCAAAGCGUGCUUCAGUUCAACAAAAAGCUCCAGAAAAGUUCAGAGUUCACAGGAGUCACUUCAGGUUGGCUCUUUUUUAUUCUCCAGUUUGGGAUAAAGCAGGGAGAGGAGGAGUUCAACUAUACAGAAAGGUGAUGGUUUCAACUGGGGCUUCCGUGACGAUCCGCUGAUGUUCUGAUCUCUAGUUUCUAUGAACUGAUGGGUAAGAUUCUCUCUCUCAUGCUCUCUCUCUCUCUCUCUCUCUCUCUCUCUCUCUCUCUCUCUCUCCUCAUCCUUUGUAGUUUGUGUGAACUGAUAGUUUAGACUCGAUGAAAUCCGCUGUUUGUAGUUUGUGUGUACUGAUAGUUGAAACUAUGAAUUCCAUGCUUUGUAGUUUGUAUGAACUAAUAGUUAAGACUCGAUGAACUCCAUGCUUUGUAGUUUUUGUGUGAACUGAUAGUUGAGACCUCAAGAGUUGUCCAUCUCGACUCGGUGAACUCAUAGCUGAUAGUUUUGUGAAGUGAAAAUUCUUCUUCAAGUUCUUGUGGUAUUUAAUACUUUGUGAGCUGAUAGCUGAUACUUUGAGAUGGAUGUAUUAUUAGGCUGUGAAAGUGAUGUCAAAUAUGUGCAGUUUAAUGGAUGAGUGUUAUAUAGAUCCUUUUAAUCUGAAGGUAGUAUCUUCUAUAGACAAGAAAUGGGCAUUUGGCUCAGUAAUCGUCCAUUACUAGAGGUAUUGUCACUUGACCAUUUCCAGAACUAGUUUCAAUUCGUGGACUACCGACACUUGCAAAAUCAAAGAGGCUGACCAUAUCAAAGUGCCCAAAGUUGAAGCAAAGGAGAUGAGAUGCUACAAAAAAGCGGCCAAAUCCCGGCGCACCUGGUAGUUCAAACUUACACCAGAUGGCCGGUGACCAACUGCCUCGCCUCUACAAGCUCCUCGGGGAUGACUUGGUAGUAGCUGGGAUCCCCUACCAGUGGCCAAAUCCCGCUGCACCCAGCCGCCGGUCGUGAUCCCCUCUCCUCCAGCUCCACUUCGAGGCGCCGUCAGUCCACAGGAGCAGGGGCGGUGUGCUAAUCAACAAAAAAGAGCAGAAGGAUGCAUAAAAAAUCAAAGGUAGCAGCUCAAAAAGAUGAAUAUUGGAAGCCCAUUGCCGGGCUGCAGAUGCGUAUGACUUGAAUCGGUAGCAGGCCUGUAACCGAAUCAUUCCGCACCACUUUUCUGUCCGUGUGGCUUGAUCUGCAGCCCGCCGGCUCAGUCGUGUACGUCCAGACAAGACAUUAUGGUGCAAUUUAAUGCAUGAAUUGCAGUAUGUGUUUGAGAGUGGAUGAACCCAUACCUGAAGGCUCUGGGCUCCAACUACAGCAACGGUGUCAAAUUCACCAUGGCUGGCUCAACGGUGUCCCGCGGCGUCUCCCAAUUCCCUGAACAUCCAGGUCGAUUCGUUCGUCUACUACAAGUGCAGAUCCCUAGAGCUCUAAAAUUCCGUAUCAGGGUAUUUUUUCAUCGGUUCUAAAAUUCCCAGAGCAUCAGUCCAACGACGUAUCGGGGUAUACUGUGUUGCUCCUGCAAAUUUUUUGUAUGCUUGUAUGUAGAAAAAUGGUAGAGUUACUGCUUUGAUGUGUCGUGGUGUGAAUGUUGUUGAUGUUCAAAGUUUGUGCAGAGAAAGACUUCAAAAACUCAUGUCGCCGAUGGAAUGAAUUACUAGAAGUUCAAAUUUGCUAA